CAGUCGCCGCGGUAAUACAGAGGGUGCGAGCGUUAAUCGGAUUUACUGGGCGUAAAGCGUGCGUAGGCGGCUUCUUAAGUCGGAUGUGAAAUCCCUGAGCUUAACUUAGGAAUUGCAUUCGAUACUGGGAAGCUAGAGUAUGGGAGAGGAUGGUAGAAUUCCAGGUGUAGCGGUGAAAUGCGUAGAGAUCUGGAGGAAUACCGAUGGCGAAGGCAGCCAUCUAGCCUAAUACUGACGCUGAGGUACGAAAGCAUGGGGAGCAAACAGGAUUAGAUACCCCCGUAGUCCCUGUCUCUUAUAC
RNAcentral lists this ribosomal RNA (301 nucleotides) under uncultured bacterium. RNAcentral's name for it is "partial 16S ribosomal RNA". It matches the Rfam family "Bacterial small subunit ribosomal RNA", at positions 509 to 807 of the family's 1533-position model. The record is from RNAcentral.